RNAcentral lists this ribosomal RNA (868 nucleotides) under Acrotoma juliae. Its description in RNAcentral is "partial 16S ribosomal RNA". The record is from RNAcentral. Lineage: Eukaryota; Metazoa; Mollusca; Gastropoda; Stylommatophora; Clausiliidae.
UUAAAUUAGAAUACAUUAACUAGUUUAAUUACCCGAAAUAGGUAGAGCUAAUUAAAGUUAGAGUUUUAGUUCUGUAUAGCAUUGAUGUUGCAUAAUUAUAAAUUAAAUAUUAAUUAGGGGUGAAAGGCCAAUCAAUACCUAUAGAUAUCUGGAUAAGCUUAAAAAAUAUUUAGUAUUAGAGUCAAAUAUAAAAUUUUAAGGUUUUAUAUACAAAAAAUAAGGUAUGGAAAAAGUAUUGUUAAUAAAUUAACCUUUUAUUGCUUGCAGUAUAAUUAAAUUUAUCUACGCCCAAAUUUAAGGUCUUAAGGUUUUACUUCAUUUUAUUAUAUAUGAAGUUGAUUUUGUUUAAAUUAGUAAUAGUAUAUAAAAUAUUUUAAAGGAACUCGGCAAAUCUAAAUCUCAACUGUUUAUCAAAAACAUAGCUAGAUUAUUUUACCUAGUUCUUUCUGCCCGGUGGAAUAGUUUUAACGGCCGCAGUACACUGACUGUGCAAAGGUAGCAUAAUAAUUUGACUUUUAAUUGAAGUCUAGUAUGAAAGGGAACAUGGGAUAAGACUGUCUCUCAUUUAUUUUAUUAAUUUGCUUCAGAAAGUGAAAAGACUUUCGCAGCUUAAAAGACGAGAAGACCCUAUGAAUUUUUAUAAAAAAUGAUUACUCAUUUAUAUUUUUGUUGGGGCAACAAAUUGACACAGCAUUUAUCUAAUGCCAUGACAAAUUCAUUUUGUACAAUACACCGAAUUUUAUUAAUAAAAGUUAAAUUACUAUAGGGAUAACAGCAUAAUUUUACAAACUAGAUUGUGACCUCGAUGUUGGACUAGGAAACAAUUGAGGUAGCACUUUAAUUGUAUAGUUCUGUUCGAACAUUUCCU